This 804-nucleotide long non-coding RNA is filed under the name Bos taurus (domestic cattle). RNAcentral's name for it is "long non-coding RNA NONBTAT000435". The record is from RNAcentral. Lineage: Eukaryota; Metazoa; Chordata; Mammalia; Artiodactyla; Bovidae.
UAACUUUAUUACUGCAUUUAAAAUGUAGUAAGAUACAUGGUGUAAGUUCUAAAUUUUUUAAAAAAUACAGUGAAUAUUUGUAGAAAUAAUGUAUAAAUAUUAAAAAAUAGCUGUUGUAUUAAGUGACUAUAUUGUCACAUAAAAACCUGUAGUAACUUAAAGAAUUAUUUAUGGAUACCUUUAGUUUUAUUCUUUAAAAUGUUACAUGUUCACCCACCAGUAUCAUUUUCAGUCAGUUAUGAAUUUCUUAUUAACAUACAGAUAACUUGGAUUCUACCUUUGCCACAUUAUUUGUUAAUUCUGAAGUAAAUUUCAUUUAAUAUAUCAUCUUUUAUUUAAAUAGUUUUACAUUAGGCCAUUUAAUUUUAAAGCAUAACUUUAUCCUCAUUCAUGUAUUUCUUUUAUACAAGGGAAUUUUUUAGUACUUUAUUUUGAAUUGAAUGUUUUAAGUAGUCUUUAAGAAGAAUUUGUAUAUUUGUAUUUUGGUUGAUUUUAUUGCUAUGCUAUUACAACCAUUGAUUUUAUUUGGUGUAUUCCUCACUAUUUGUUAUCUCUAUUUGACUUAGGUAAACUUAGAUUUACUUCUGUUUUUUAACCAUUGUAUAUCUGGAUUUAUAUUUAGAAAAUACAUUUUUUGUAAUUCACUAGUUACACUAAACAAUAUCAAACUAAUAAGUUUCAUAUAUUUGUAUGCAUUUUGUACAGUUGUGAAAAUUUUUCAAAAAGCAUCGUGUCAUAUAUUACAUUUUAAGUUGCUACGCAUUCCUUAAGGGGCAUAUUCUAUUCAAGAUACUGAGCCUAGCC